AAAUAAAAAAUUAAUAAUAUAAUAAAAUAAUAAAAAAAUUUUUAAAAUAAAUAUUAAAUGGGGGUUUAAGUAUUUAUAAAGAAAAAAUUAUAAUUUUAUAGUGAAAUAGUAUUGUGAAAAAAAUUUGAAAUAAUUGAAAUAUUAAUUUUUGAAAAAGUAAUAUUAAGUUUAUGUAUCUUGUGUAUCAGAGUUUAUUAAUAAAAAUUUAUAAAUAAAUAAAUUUCUCGAAUUUAAAAGAGAGAAUUAAUUAUAAAAGUUAUUAUUUCAAAAAUAUUUUUAAUAAUUAAUUUGAAAUGAAAUGUUAAUCGUUUUUAAAUAUAUCUAGUUUUUUUAGAAAAAAAUUUAAUUUAAAAUUUAAUAAUAAAAGUAUUUAAUUAAUUAAAAUAUUUUUAAUUUUAAAUUUAAUAAUUUAAGGGAUAAGCUUUAAAUUAAAAUAAUUAUAAUAAUUAAUAAUUAAAAAUUAAUAUUUAAAUUUUUAAAAUUUAUAUUGUUUAUAAAUUAUAAUUUUUUAUAAAUAAUUUAAUUAAAAAAAAGAUUUAAAAUAAAAAAUUUAAAUUUUUAUAAAAUAAAUAAAUUUUAAUAAUAAAAAUUUAGUUAUAAUGAUAAAAUUAGUAUAAAUAAAUUAAUAAAAUAAAAAAAUUAAUAAAUUGAAUUAAAGGAAUUCGGCAAAAAUUAUAUUCACUUGUUUAUCAAAAACAUGUCUUUUUGAAAAUAAUUUAAAGUCUAAUCUGCCCACUGAUAAAAAUUAAAGGGCUGCAGUAAUUUGACUGUACAAAGGUAGCAUAAUCAUUAGUCUCUUAAUUGGUGACUUGUAUGAAAGAUUGGAUGAAAUAUAAUCUGUCUCUAAUUUAUAAAUAGAAUUUAAUUUUUUAAUUAAAAAGUUAAAAUAAUUUUAAAAGACGAGAAGACCCUAUAGAGUUUUAUAAAUUAUAAAUAAUAUUAGUUUAUAAAUAAAAAAAUUUUAUUUAAAUAUUUAUUUAGUUGGGGUGAUUAAAAAAUUUAAUAAACUUUUUUUUAUUAUUUACAAAAAUAAUUGAAUAAUUGAUCCAAAAUUUUUGAUUAAAAGAAAAAAUUACCUUAGGGAUAACAGCGUAAUUUUUUUUUUUAGUUCAUAUAAAAAAAAAAGUUUGCGACCUCGAUGUUGGAUUAAAAUAAAAAUUAAGUGCAAAACCUUAAAUUUUUGAUCUGUUCGAUCAUUAAAAUCUUACAUGAUCUGAGUUCAAACCGGGGUAAGCCAGGUUGGUUUCUAUCUUUAAAAAAAUGAAAUAUUUUAGUACGAAAGGAUUAAAUAUUUAAAAUAAAUUUUAAUAAAAAUUGAAUAUUAAUAAAUUUAAAUAAAUAUUUGAAAUUAAUAAAUGUAAAAGAUU
RNAcentral lists this ribosomal RNA (1367 nucleotides) under Promalactis suzukiella. RNAcentral's name for it is "16S ribosomal RNA". The record is from RNAcentral. Lineage: Eukaryota; Metazoa; Arthropoda; Insecta; Lepidoptera; Oecophoridae.